Molecule: ribosomal RNA, 323 nt
Filed under: uncultured bacterium
Lineage: Bacteria
Description: bacterial SSU rRNA
Rfam family: Bacterial small subunit ribosomal RNA
Source: RNAcentral
GAUGAACGCUGGCGGCGUGCUUAACACAUGCAAGUCGAACGGGAAACAUUUUAUUGAAGCUUCGGCAGAUUUAGUUUGUUUCUAGUGGCGGACGGGUGAGUAACGCGUGGGUAACCUGCCUCACACUGGGGGAUAACAGUCAGAAAUGACUGCUAAUACCGCAUAAGCGCACGGGACCGCAUGGUUUAGUGUGAAAAACUCCGGUGGUAUGAGAUGGACCCGCGUCUGAUUAGGUAGUUGGUGGGGUAACGGCCCACCAAGCCGACGAUCAGUAGCCGACCUGAGAGGGUGACCGGCCACAUUGGGACUGAGACACGGCCCAA